Long non-coding RNA from Glycine soja, 7722 nucleotides. RefSeq lists it as uncharacterized. The transcript is spliced from 6 exons. The record is from RefSeq and is a predicted model, not a curated record. Lineage: Eukaryota; Viridiplantae; Streptophyta; Magnoliopsida; Fabales; Fabaceae.
UUACAGAAUUUACUCACUAACAAGUUUUUCGUCGGAAAUAUAAAUGUUACCGAUGGAUUACGUUUUUGUCAAAAAUUAAAAUUAUACCUAAAAUAAAAUAUCUCAACCCUAACGAGGGGCUCAACCAAUUCACAUUUGAUGAUUUUCGAAAUCUUUCGCCUAUCGUCAUGCUGCCGUGCACGAGCUCCAGCACUAUCACGCCACCACACACGAGGUCCACACCGUCAUGCUGCCGUCGCACGAGCUCCAUCACUGUCACGCGGUCCUCGGGCAAGUUUCCCAAGCCUCCGUUGCACAUUGCGGCGUCGCCAUUGAGCAGUGACUGCCAUCACACACACCGCCGUGCCCACGCCAAUUGGUUAGUGCUCUUACAUCUUAUACCUAGUGACCACACUGUAUGUGUGUUGCCGUGUGUGUGUGUGAUCGUGAGAAAGGCGAGGUGCGUGGGGGAGAGAGUAAUUGAGCUUCAUGUUUUAUGCAACUUAGGAAAAUCCUAUUACAAACUGCUGCCUCUUUUUGGUGUUAAUUUUUUGAGUUUAACGCAAAUUCUAUUUAUAUUUCUUAAACACAUUUUGUAAUGGCUUCGAUCUCAUUGGAAUUUCAAAAUCCUCUACCAUAAAUCUUGUUUGGAAUCCUCAAUUUUCCAGCAUUGGAAGCUCAUUUGCAUUUUCCAUCUUACAAGACGAAAAUACAUUUAUUUUAAUUUUCUCCUGUUUUUCUUUUUGAAAUUUUCCUUUUGGCUUUAUAGAUCAGAAAUAUGAUGUACCUAGAUAUGGCUUCCUCUAUUCAAGGUGAUAAUAAAAAGACUCAGUGGGUGUUUGUUAUGGCUUUCAAAUUUUUUGUGUCGAUUUAGUGAACGCGUGGUGAUUGGUGAUUUUUUUUAAUUCAAAUUUGAGAUUUGGGAUUUUACUGUUGCUCAGUUUUGUGAUGAAUAUAUUGGUAUUUGUCUGAGAUUUAGAUAACAUUCGUAUGUGAUUUGUUGCUUACUUGAGACUAUGAUGAAUUCUUAUGGUGGUCUUCUACAUUUUUGGGGAUUUUUCAUGCCAUGUUUUCCACUACCCACUAAUUGAUUGAUGAAACGCAGAGGGACUUUAGUUGAAAUUGUAUUUUUGGGUAUGCGUGGGUUGGGGAUUUGGAUGAUGCAAAUGAGUAGUUUGAAAUAAUACAAAGGUUGGAAUGUUUAUAUGAUUUUUCUCCAUAUUUCAUUCAGUAGACUAGUAAUGUGACAACGCUCAAGAAAUGUAUUUUUAAUUCACAACAACUUUUUAAGAAUUAAAAACCAAAAUAAAUUGAAAUGGAAAACUCAAAACAAAAAUUGAUUUUAAUUUUUAAAAAUUUCAAAAUUAAAAACAUAAAACCACCCCCAAUAAGACCUUACAUCUUAUUCAAUGUAUUGUCUAAAGCCUAGCUUGUUUUGUUGAUGUCCGACAUACAUACGCUGUGUUCUAGAUUACGAGAUUUUUAAAUGUCAAUGGUGAUGGCUAUCUCUAUCAGAUUUAUAGAAUGCAGAAAAAACUAUUAACUUGAAGUGGACCUCUCAACAUACAAGCCGUGAGAUAAUCAAAUAAUUUUCUGUGAAUGAGUUACACAACUGGCCUUAAUAUUGAAUGGCCUCAACUGGACUAACUCAUGAUGGAUUAUGCCAAUUCGUUAGCCUGAUUUUUUUUUAUUUACUUAUAUGUUGGCCUACUUUUUAUAAUUGGUAAAAUUACAAUAUAUUUUAUUUAUUACUACAUAUGUUGCCAUUGUCCAUUUUAAAGUUAAUAUUUUAUGUACAUUGAGUUUUAUUUUUAAUUUCUAACACUUGUUUAUUGUUACAAUUGAUGCACCUUAUUUUAUUUUUAUUAUUACAUUAUAUUUUUUUAUUUUAUAGUACAAAUGGAAACAUAUAUUUUUAUUUUACUUUACAGUGGUUGAAUUUUUUAAGGUUAACUUGCUAUAUAAAGGUGAAUUUAUUUUGAUAAUUUUUUAUAUUUUACAAAAGUGAGUAGGCAAUACAUCAAUCCGUUGGGCUUGUGGCUUGCCAAGAGUUGUAUAGGACUAGAAAAUUUAUAGACUAUUAUUAAAGAGUGGUGCUAGGUGCACCCAGCAUUUAAUUAAAAUACCAAAACUGCCCCUACACUUUUUUUGCAUUUGUGAUGGGUGUGUGUGAGGGUGAUCCGUAAGAUUGAUACGGAUCAACUUGAUCCGUAAGUCUUUUACGGAACAAUACGGAUCAACAUGAUCCGUAAAAGUCUUACGGAUCAAGUUGAUCCGUAAAAAGCUUACGGAUCAUGUUGAUUCGUAUUGUUCUGUAAAAGACUUACAGAUCAAGUUGAUCCGUAAGGUUUCUACGGAUCAAGUUGAUCCGUAAGGCUUUUACGGAUCAACUUAAAUGGCUUACGGAUCAAGGAUAUUUUCAUCAUUUUACCUUAAGUGCUGGAUGCACCAACAAUAAUGCUGGGUGCACCUAGCAACACCCAUUAUUAAAUUGCCUCAAUUCGGCCCAACCUAAAAAUAUGAUAACUCAUAAUAAGCAAAAUUAAAUGAGUGGAGAUAAUCCAGAUUAACAACUAUAAAUGUGGUCUCUUGCAUUAGAAAUGACUCGAGUAUUUCGUUAUAUAAAACACUAUUGACCAAUUAAGGCAAAGAAUAUUAUAAGGACAAGGAGUCUCCUAACAUACAUUCCAAUUAGAAUCCCUAAUAUAAUAUUCAUAAUUAAGCUUAUUUUUUAAAUUAUUAUAAGGACCAACAGUUAUAUGAAUAUUUUUUAAAUUAUUUUUUACAUUCCAUUUUUCUAAAAGUUAAAUUAUAUUUUUAUAUUAAAUAUUUUAAUUUAUAUUCUUAAUUAACGAAGGCAUUAUGACAACUAAUUUUGUGUGUGUGAAUUUAUAGAUACGUUACCCAAGCAUAUGCUAUCAGGUUCAAGUCAUAUGUUAAUAUUUAAAAUUAAGAUAUUAAGACGGUUAAGAAAGAAAGCAAUUACUACUAGGAAUUAAAAUAACUCAAAAUCAAGACAAGUAAAACUUGUGGACUGCAUGCAGGUUUUUUUUCGUAUAUAUAGAUUGCAUAUUAUUUAUGUACUUGUACACCAAAAGCAUAAUUAUCUAGACUUUAUAUUAUUAAAAAAAGUAAUAGUAUGCAAGGAAGAAUUUAAUUUUAAAUGAUUGGAAGAGAUAUUUUCCUGACAAGAUAAAAAAGAUUAAAUUAAAAAUAUUUUUUUGGCAAAAAUUUCUAAUCAUUUUAAAUUUUUUUCUUUAUUUCUUACUCUCAAGUUUAUAGGUGAGAUUGUGUUACGUGAUCGUUGUACAUUCCAUUGUUCAAGUUAGUUGUGGUUUUUUUAUUUUAGUUGUUCGAAAUUUUGUAUUCUAAAUGUGUUAAGUAUAUUUGUGAUUGUGGUUAUAUUAUUUACAUUCCAUGCUUUGUUCAUUUAGAAAGACAAAAACCAUAUGUAUGUGAUUUUUUUCACCUAAAACAUGAUCAUAAUUGUUGCGACUAAUAAUAGAGAUCACUUUAAGAUUAUGUAUGUGAUUCAUGAAUGUUCAUAUUUUUUCUUCUUAAAUAUACAAAAUAUGAACUAUAUUCUUUUGAAUCAUUGUUGGAUGUACGAUAGAUGUUAUAGUGGUAGAAGUUGUUUGAAAGAGUCUUUUGUUAAGGGGGUUGAAGAAUUUGUUUGCAAAGCUAGUCAACAAAAUUGUUAUCACACAAUGAUGGGGGAUCAUAUGUCCUUGUGUUAAAUGCGAUUGAACUAGAAUUUUGGAGAAUAGAGUUAAGAGGGUUCACCUAUACAAAGAUGGGUUCAAGCUUAAUUAUUGGAUUUGGACUGAUCAUGGGGAAGAGAUGCCACAUGUUGAUUUAAAUGAUGACAAUAGCUACAUGGAUACUUCAAGUAGUGCAUAAUAUGUGACUCAAGGUGAAUAAUUUACUAAGAGAUGGUGUGUGAUGCUCUCAGGAAACCUAGGACAUUUGAAGCUCCAAACUCAAAUAAUAUAGGAGAUACUCAAAGAUUUUACAAUUUAUUGGUGGAGGCGAAUGAGUCAUUGUACGAAGGAGCAUUAGACUCAAAAUUAUCAAUAUUCGAGAGACUUUUAGCUUGCAAGUCCAAUUGGAAUGUUCCCGACCAGUGCUUAGAGUUUAUUUCCAAAAUACUUUUGGAUGUAACACCUAUGAAAGAUUGUUUGUCAAAAAAAAAAAAAUUAUGAUGUGAAGAGGUUAGUAUCGAAGUUGGGAUUGGAGGCUAAAAGGAUUAACUGUUGUGUGGAUGGCUACAUGUUGUAUUAUAACAAUGAUGGAGCGUUAACUAAAUGCAAAUUUUGUAACAAGCCUAGGUAUCGUGCCUAGACUAUUGGAAGAAGCAAUAGAAAACCAAUUACAGUAAAGUCGAUGUUUUACUUGUCUAUAAUACCAAGGUUGCAGAGAAUAUUUGCAUCAAUGCAAACUGCAAGCCAAAUGACAUGACACUAUGAGAAUAGAAGAUCUUCGGGCAUGUUACGCCACCCCUCUAAUGGUGAAGCCGGGAAACACUUUGAUCAGGUACAUGCAAAUUUUGCUAUUGAUUCACGGAGUGUGCGACUCAGUUUAUGCAUAGAUGGAUUUAACCAAUAUAUUCAAGCAUCAUCUUCACCUUAUUCUUGUUGGUCAAUCAUAGUUACCCUACAAUCUUCCUCCAGAAAGGUGUAUGGCUAAACCUUAUAUGUUUGAGUUGUGUAGUACUAGGCCCAUAUAAUUCAACAGUUGGUAUUGAUGUUUAUUUACAACCUUUAAUUGAUGAUUUGAAGAAGUUGUGGAGUGGUGUUCUCACUUACGAUGUUUCAAGAAAGCAAAAUUUCAUGAUGAGGGAAACUUUGAUGUGGACUAUUAAUGAUUUUUCUGCUUAUGACAUGUUGUCUGGUUGGGGGACACAUGGUAGAUUGACAUGUUCAUAUUGCAUGGAGGACAUAAAGGCCUUCUAGUUAACAAAUAGGAGAAAAACUUCUUGGUUUGACUGUUAUCGUAGGCUCUUACCUAGUGAUCAUGCAUUUAAGAGGACCAAAAAUGCCUUCAAAAAAGGGUAAGUAGAAAGGGAUGAGCCACUGCGUAUGUUGACACCUACACAAGUUUGGCAUAGGGUUUGGGAUUUGCCAAAAGUCAUAGAAAUUGGUCUGCCACCACCAAUAGUAUACGGAUAUGGGGAGUGGCAUCAUUGGACAAAAAAAAGUAUCUUUUGGGAUCUUCCAUAUUGGAAAGAUAAUUUGUUGCGACACAAUCUUGAUGUUAUGCACAUAGAGAAAAAUUUCUUUGACAACAUAUUCAACAUUAUGAUGAAUGUCAGUGGUAAGACAAAAGACAAUGAGAAGGCUAGGAUGGACUUAACUUUGUAUUGUAGGCGGAAAGACUUGGAGUUGAAGUUAGGGGCUAAUGGAAAGUUGUUAAAGUCAAAAACAAAUUACACUCUAACUGCAGACCAAACAAAGUUAGUCUGUCAAUGGAUAAAAGAACUAAGAAUGCUAGAUGGUUAUUCUUCCAACUUGGUGAGAUGUGCCAAUGUUGAUAAGGGAACCAUGCAUGGAAUGAAAAGUCAUGAUUGUCAUAUAUUCAUAGAGUGUUUACUUCCUAUUGCUUUUAGCUCAUUGCCGCCACAUGUCUUAAAUCCACUUAAUGAAAUAAGUCAUUUCUUCAAAGAUUUGUGUUCUACAUCUUUGAUGAAGGAUGACUUGAGUAGAAUGGAACAAAAUAUUCAUUUAUUUUGUGCAAUUUGGAGGGAAUAUUCCCCUUUGGUUUUUUCGAUUCAAUGGAACAUCUACCUAUUCAUCUGGCAUAUGAAGCUAGACUUGGUGGACUAAUCCAAUAUAGAUGGAUGUAUCCAUUUGAAAGGUUCAUGAUCAAUCCUAAACAAGCAAGGAAAAAUAAGGCUAGGAUUGAAGGAUCCAUUUGCACGUCUUACAUAUAUCGUGAGACAACUCAUUUUUGUUCUCAUUAUUUCAACAACUUUAUGAAAUUGAAACUAAAAGGUGUCCACCAAUUUUCUCAUUUUUGUUAGACAACUCAUUUUUGUUCUCAUUUUUGUCGCCACACAAUAUUAAGAAUCAAAUUGCAAUUGAAACUGAUAGGCGUCCACCAAUGUAUUAGUGUUUGACCAGCAAGGUCGUCCUUUUAGGAAGGAGUUCAUUCACUGGUUAACUGAUGAAGAGAAAGACCCAGUCCAUGUUCAUGUGUUGAUUAAUUGUGUUGAAGUUAAGCUAUACCUUGAAUAUGUCAUCAGGUAGUGCUGACCCUCCCUGACCUUCAUCACAUGACUCCAGUGGGAAAAGGACAAAUGGGAAGAAAAAAUGAUAUGUGGUUAAACUACUACCACCUCAAGAUAGUUUGCCACCAUCUACCUCAUCCCCGUCUACUGUAUCUAUACCAGUUAGGCCUUCCAAUGUUCCACCUACACCAUCUCCACCUCUGACUAAUGUUAGACCAUCUUCAUCUCAUCUUGAUGCAUGUGGACUAUCCCCGAUACCUACAUCCACACCAUCCUCAUCCCUGAUUGUAGCCAACAUGCCUAUUAAUGAAGACGUUUCAAAUUUGGCCAUGGAAGACACCCCUAAUGAUCGUCCUAUGAUUACACUUAUCAAUGGAGUGCAAGUAUUGCAAAAUUUACAUUAAUGUUCAUUAUAUAUGAUACAUCAUUUGAUAUUUUACUUUUUCACAAAUUAUUUUUUAUAUUUGGGUUUCAUCCAACUAAGGUUGCGGCAAAGGCUGUCACAUUCUCCAUUAGACAACAAUUUGGUCACCCAUGGCCUACAUUGGGAGCAAUUCCAAAAGAUCAUCAAUAGCUUUUUUUUUAGCGUUUUAAGAGAAAAUUGGUUUGGAGACCCGAGGAAGAGAAUGAAAUUAAGAAAGCUUUUAACUCCAAAGCCUCUCAUAGACUUUCUAAGAUGUUUAGGGAUGCUCGAAAUAAAAAUAAAAGGCCAUAUUGGAUUGGAGAUCAUGUCUGGAACAAUUCGUUAUCACAUUGGAAUGCACUUGGAUAUCCUUCCAAGUAUGUAGAGGCAAAAAAAAAUUAGGCAUCUGAAAAGGGUGAGUGUAUGCACACAAGUGGUUCUAUCAGCUUGCAGGAUCACGACAUUUGCUUGUCAGAGGAGCUUGGUUGAUAUGCAUACGUAGAUGAGGUCUUUCAGCAAACACAUGAAGAAUUUGAGGCUAGACUGUCUCAAGUUAGGUCUGAUGUUGCAUCAAGUGUUGGUGAAUCACAACUCACUCCUUUAGACCCUGCUGAAAAACAAAAACUUAGGAGUCGGUGUUGGGUUGCAGCUAUAGACCAAAGCGUAAAGGAUGCCUUUACGGUACUCCAGAUCUUGCUCAUACAUAUAAAUUUGGAGAUGAGAACUUCAUGUAGCAUACACAAGGAUCUUCCCGUUGUGCUCAACAUGCCGCAAAGAUUAACCAAUCGACUUAGGAAGGAGCUUCGUCAAUCAAAGGAGGAGAUGCGUGUAUUUUAGUUAGUUGUCCUUCGAUUCCUACCUCCUGAAGUGUGGAACAUUAUUCAUCAACAUCAACAACCUCACCAACAUCAUUAGGACCAGUAGCAAUAACAAGACAAUGACCAACUAGAUGAUCAGCUACAAGACAUUGACCAACAGAGACACUCUCCCAAUGAAUAUUUUGAUUACUAACUUAGCAACACAAAAUUAUUAUUGACAUGUUACAUUGUGCUUUACUUUUAGAUUUAUUAACAAUUUAACAUAAUGAUCUAUUAUACUAUUCGUUUUCGAUUUA